CUGGAAAGCAUCGCGCUUGGCAUCUUGUUUCUUAUGUGGGCUCGGAGGACCCUUACAAAACC
RNAcentral lists this ribosomal RNA (62 nucleotides) under Ptilotus obovatus. RNAcentral's name for it is "partial 26S ribosomal RNA". The record is from RNAcentral. Lineage: Eukaryota; Viridiplantae; Streptophyta; Magnoliopsida; Caryophyllales; Amaranthaceae.